This 468-nucleotide ribosomal RNA is filed under the name uncultured bacterium. RNAcentral describes it as "partial 16S ribosomal RNA". It matches the Rfam family "Bacterial small subunit ribosomal RNA", at positions 28 to 507 of the family's 1533-position model. The record is from RNAcentral.
GACGAACGCUGGCGGCGUGCUUAACACAUGCAAGUCGAACGGAAAGGCCCUGCUUUUGUGGGGUGCUCGAGUGGCGAUCGGGUGAGUAACACGUGAGUAACCUGCCCUUGACUUUGGGAUAACUUCAGGAAACUGGGGCUAAUACCGGAUAGGAGCUCCUGCUGCAUGGUGGGGGUUGGAAAGUUUCGGCGGUUGGGGAUGGACUCGCGGCUUAUCAGCUUGUUGGUGGGGUAGUGGCUUACCAAGGCUUUGACGGGUAGCCGGCCUGAGAGGGUGACCGGCCACAUUAGGACUGAGGGACGGCCCAGACUCCUACGGGAGGCAGCAGUGGGGAAUCUUGCACAAUGGGCGGAAGCCUGAUGCGGCAACGCCGCGUUCGGGAUGACGGCCUUCGGGUUGUAAACCGCUUUCGCCUGUGACGAAGCGUGAGUGACGGUAAUGGGUAAAGAAGCACCGGCUAACUACGUG